Camelus ferus (Wild Bactrian camel) is the source of this 71-nucleotide transfer RNA. It matches the Rfam family "tRNA". Rfam says of the family: Transfer RNA (tRNA) molecules are approximately 80 nucleotides in length. Their secondary structure includes four short double-helical elements and three loops (D, anti-codon, and T loops). Lineage: Eukaryota; Metazoa; Chordata; Mammalia; Artiodactyla; Camelidae. The record is from Rfam.
GAGGGUAUAGCUCAGUGUAGAGUGCGUGCCUAGCAUGCACAAGGUCCUGGGUUCAAUCCUCAGUGCCUCCA